CCCUUAGAUGUUCUGGGCUGCACGCGCGCUACACUGAAGCUAUCAACACGUUUUCCCUCCCUGAGAAGGGCGGGUAACCUUUUGAAUCAGCUUCGUGGUAGGGAUCGGGGCUUGCAAUUGUUCCCCGUGAACCAGGAAUUCCUAGUAGACGCGAGUCAUAAGCUCGCAUCGAUUAAGUCCCUGCCCUUUGUACACACCGCCCGUCGCUACUACCGAUUGAACGUUUUAGUGAGGCAUUUGGACCGACGCAUCUCAGUUUAACCGCUGGUUUGUGUUGGAAAGACUUCCAAACUUGAGCGUUUAGAGGAAAUAAAAGUCGUAACA
This 324-nucleotide ribosomal RNA is filed under the name uncultured eukaryote. RNAcentral describes it as "partial 18S ribosomal RNA". It matches the Rfam family "Eukaryotic small subunit ribosomal RNA", at positions 1470 to 1796 of the family's 1831-position model. The record is from RNAcentral.